GGGGAAUCUUGCGCAAUGCGCGAAAGCGUGACGCAGCAACACCGCGUGAGGGAAGACGGCCUUAGGGUUGUAAACCUCUUUCAGAUGGGACGAAGGUUCGACGGUGAAUAGCCGAUCGGAUUGACGGUACCGUCAGAAGAAGCUCCGGCUAACUACGUGCCAGCAGCCGCGGUAAUACGUAGGGAGCGAGCGUUGUCCGGAAUUAUUGGGCGUAAAGAGCACGUAGGUGGAUUGAUCAGUCUGUCGUGAAAGUCAACGGCUCAACCGUUGAAUGCCGGUGGAUACUGUUGAUCUAGAGUACGGAAGAGGCGAGUGGAAUUCCUGGUGUAGCGGUGGAAUGCGCAGAUAUCAGGAGGAACACCAAUAGCGAAGGCAGCUCGCUGGGACGUUACUGACACUGAGGUGCGAAAGCGUGGGGAGCAAAC
This 425-nucleotide ribosomal RNA is filed under the name uncultured bacterium. RNAcentral's name for it is "bacterial SSU rRNA". It matches the Rfam family "Bacterial small subunit ribosomal RNA", at positions 356 to 773 of the family's 1533-position model. The record is from RNAcentral.